RNAcentral lists this ribosomal RNA (114 nucleotides) under Brumimicrobium sp. The record is from RNAcentral. RNAcentral also lists the same sequence under 1 other name. Lineage: Bacteria; Pseudomonadati; Bacteroidota; Flavobacteriia; Flavobacteriales; Crocinitomicaceae.
UUCGGUGUCUAUUGCGGCAGGGUCCACCUCUUCCCAUCCCGAACAGAGAAGUUAAGACUGCCCGCGCUGAUGGUACUGCCGGCUCACCGGUGGGAGAGUAAGUUGACGCCACUU